UCAACAGGCACCUGAGUCUCCUUCCAACUGAAACUGUUUGUGCGCUACCCAAGCCCGCUGCCCCAGUGGGUCUGAUCCAUUUGAUGUCCCUCACAAUAUGUGCUAACUACUCGUGCUAAGCAAUCUACUCCACCCUUCAUUUUGCUGUGAUGCUGGGAGUUCCUUCCCCAGACCUCAAGAAGCGCUCUGUGUGAGCUCAGAAGCUGGUCAAAUAAAAGGUAUCACCUCACCCACAUGGUCUCUAUAGUGAUCAAAGGCAGCCUCUCCUUUCCUGGGCAUCGAAAGAUCUUUCCCUGAUGGAUCCCCGGUUGUGUGGUGUGCUCCUCCCUCCACUUCCUUCACCAGCUGUCCUGGUUUGGCAGCCUGUCACAUUGGCCCAUCUGUCAGCUAAAAAGAGAAACCAUUCGUACAAAUGGCAGCUUCAACACUGCAGUGAUCAGUGGCAAACUGUCAGCCAGCUGGCCUUAUGCAGUGGUGGUAUAACCGUGUUGGUCCCAGCAUAUGAGAGACAAGGUAGGUGAGGUAAUCUUUUAUUGACCAACUUCUGCUAGUGAAAGAGACAAGCUUUUGAGCCACUCAGAACUCUUCUUCAGGUCUGACAGGAAUGGGCUGUUUGCCUUGUUGAGCACUCAGGUACGAAGAGGUUAUGAAGUGACUCUGGGUAAUUUCAGAGUGAGUAGCUAAUACCUUCAACUAGACACAUACGGUAUUGUGGCAAAGAGGAAAUGUUGCACAAUAUAAUGAGAUAAUACAGUAUAUUUCAAACUUUAACCUAGGAAACCUGGAAAAUUUUCCAUUUAGACUCUUCUUUAGUUCCCCUCCAGAAAACUGAUUUUCCAUUGAGUUGAAAAUCAUUCAUGGGGGAGGGGGGAUUCAUUUUGUCAAUUAACUUUUCACUUUUAAUUGAAAUCCCAAAACAGAACAAUUUUUACUGUUCUGCAACCAUAACCCAACACUUUAAACUGAAAAAUGUUGGGUUUUGGUUGCCAGAACCCAAAAAAGUUCAGUUUCUGACAAAAAACCUGUAACAUUUUGAAGAAAAAUAUUGACAAAAAUGAAAAAAGAUUUUGUUUUCAUUGAAAUUAUUCACAGGAAAAAAAUAUAAUUUUCCAACCAGUUCUACUUCAAUCACAUACAAUUAACAUCUGCCUUGUCCUUUGGGGAUGGUCUUGGACCCAAAAAUCUGGGUCUUAAAGGUAGAGGCAGAAAGAGGCUUAACUCAAAUGCCUGGAUCCUAAUCCAGGCAUUCCCAAAUUUCAGGCUAUUUGGCUCUAAAGAGUUGGUUCAGACCUAUAUCUAGUUAGCAGGUGUAUAUUGGCUGGAUUCUCACACAGCCAGUCCUCCUCCUAUUGAGGUCCUACUGGCUGUAAUGGGGGCAGUUUCAGGGCUUUACCCUGGGUAACUAUUUGGGAUGGACUCUUCUCUUUUCAUUGCGCCUAGAUGAGUUAUUUGCUUCCUGGUUUGGGCCCUGAAUCAGCAAAAUGCUUUAGCCCAUGAACAUCGAAAGCACUGAAGCACACAUUUACAGCCAUUUUGAUUGCGGCUGCACAUUGAGCAGAAGUUCUCAGAGAACUAUCCACGGUGACGCCGAGAUCUCUCUUGAGUGGCACCAGCUAAUUUAGACCCCAUCAUUUGGCCCAGGAUUUCACCCAUGCAGUUCACCCUGUUGUCUUUCUGCUCAUCCAGCAGCGUGAGCUGUGCCUACUCCACCCAACACCCUUCAGCAGGUUCAGCAGGUGGCUUGCUGAAAUCACCAGCUUGGAACAUUUGUGCAUUUCUCCUCUGUUGCUGUUUCACUGUUUCAACAGUUCUGUGGAGCAGGUUUAUUGUGGGCAUCCUGACGGGUGCUGCGCUCCUCAGAUUAACCCCACACCAACUCAACAUCUACUCAGCUACAAAACAAGAGUUUAGGUCUUGCAGCCCCCAGCCGGCCUCACAAACCCUCCACCCCUCUGGCCUGAAUGGCCCCUACAUCUCUGUUCUGAAGCCCACCCUACCCUGUACCCCACCACGCCUCUGCUUUGAGGGCCCCUCUACACACACCUGCCCACCAUGAUGGGGGGGGCGGCCAUUUUGUAUCUGUUGUUUUUUAACGGUACUUGAACUGACCACACCGAAACCACCACUUUAACUGCGGCCGCAACUUCUGAACCAAACUGGCGCCGCUUUCUUACAGCCUUAAUCAUGGUUCCCUCUGCCUAACUAUCGCCUCUGCCCCAUGGACCCCAUUCAGCAGCGAUCUGUGGUGGCAGAGAAACAAAAAGCCAUGGAGUGCCCUUUCAGAGCUCGAGCCCCAUCUUAUUUCAGCAGCAGGUUACCGAUUGACUCGUUCGGUUCACAAAUUAUAUGUUAUUUACCAUCUCUUUGACAGUUUUACCAUAUAUGGAGGCCACAGUGAGUCCAUUCAAACUACAUCACAAAACACGUUUUAUAAUCUGUGGGUUUUUAUGACAGCCAAAUUAUACUCCUUGGCUUUUAAGGGAAUAUAUUAAGUUAGCU
Chrysemys picta bellii (western painted turtle) is the source of this 2499-nucleotide long non-coding RNA. RefSeq lists it as uncharacterized. Lineage: Eukaryota; Metazoa; Chordata; Testudines; Emydidae. The record is from RefSeq and is a predicted model, not a curated record.